UCUUUAUGGUGUGUAUCUGUGUAUGUGUGUCUCUCUGACUGAAUGUUUUGCAGGGAUCAGAUGGACUCUGUGAUAAUAGGUACACAACAAGAAUGAGAUUAUAAAUCUAGACAUAAUAUACUGCACAUGCCCAGAGCCAUAGUGAUCAUUCUAUGAUUCGGGCAACAAUUUUCUCUAUGAAUCUCUGGUGUCUACCUGCCAGUCCAUCCUUUAGCAAGAAGCACAAGGCUAAAGAGAGGAGAAUGUAACCUUGGGAAGAGAGAGGACUGUUCUUUUCUGACAGAAGUAACUUUAAGGUCUAUCCCAGCCUAUUGAGCUGUAGACAGCUCCAGUGCUCCUCUCCAGCCCCUCACAUACCUUCCCCUCCUCUCCUCAACCCACUUCCCAUCAUUCCUCAUCUCUUUUCCCUACGUCACCCUUCUGACUUUAAGCCACCCAUCUCAGUGGAGUGGGAUGUCUUACUCCCCCUGGUGGUGAUUCAUGACAAUGCUCCAAUCAGAGGGAAAUCAAAUGUUGCCGGAAUUCCCUACUCUGUGUAUGAAAAUAAUAAUAAUCCGCCAUCCAACCAAUCAUCAUUUGUGUGGCUCUACGAUUGACAUACGCGGACCCUACGCAGACGUGUUUGCGAACUCAGGCCUCUUCCAUCGCUUGAAGAAGACUUACUUGGUUGUCAUGGUUGCAAUCAUAUACUUUCCAUCUCCAAGAGAAGACUCCCUCAAUUGGAUUCAGGAAAGGAGAAUAUGGUGGAAGGAACACCAUCCUGAAAUGUGGGUGAUUCUCAAACCACUCUCGCACUAGUGCUGAAUGGUGGAAUUGGACAUUGUCCCAAACAACGACAGAAUUCCGCACCAUUUGCUCUUGAUCGCCCUGUGGAAAGAGGAUUUCAUUCAUCCAUCUCUUCUCCCUCUACUCCUCUAUAUUCUCCUCUUCCUACAUCCUCAGCUCUUCUUUCUCCUUCUCCUACAUCCUCAGCUCUUCUUUCUCCUUCUCCUACAUCCUCAGCUCUUCUUUCUCCUUCUCCUACAUCCUCAGCUCUUCUUUCUCCUUCUCCUACAUCCUCAGCUCUUCUUUCUCCUUCUCCUACAUCCUCAGCUCUUCUUUCUCCUUCUCCUACAUCUUCAGUUCUUCUUUCUCUUUCUCCCUCUACCCCUCCUCAUUCGUCUUCUUUGUUGUUUUUCUCUUCCCCUUUUGUAGUUGUUGUAAUCAAGACAGCUGUGUGAACAAUUAAGAAAUUGGCUUUUUCUGUGAUGAGUGGAUUACUGACUCAUCAGAUAUCAAUUUGGGGUUAAUUGAGGACAUAAGGUGUGCAACUGACUAUUUUACAAUUCACAGAGGUUUUUUUGUUGUGUUUUGAAAAUGGUACAAAAAUGCUUGUGAUCUUUGUGAAGAACAAUGAAAAAGCUGCAAAUGUUUUUCCUGAUAUAUUAAAGAUUUGGUUGGCUGUAUUAACUGCUGUGAUAACAUUAGGGAAUUUUGUGCAUUGUUUUGAGUAAAUUAUGCUUUUGAUUUGUAAUUUGGAUGAAAUGAAGGAGAAUUUACUAUCUGUUUAGGACAAUAACAAAGUGUACAGAUCACUGUGUUAAAUGUUUUGAGAGCAGUAACCUGAGUUUGGACAAAUGUUCCAAAUGGAUUGAGAAAAACUGUACCUCUGAAGUCGGAACUGGGAAUGACGUCACACCCGAGUUAACCCAAGUUGAUCGCAUUCCAGUCGGAAUACACGAUCGACACCCCAAGGAAAGCCUUUGUUGCGCUUUCCCUUUCUUUUGAUAAAAACACAUUUAAGUGGUAUUUCACGCAUAUAACACAGUAGCAACAUGUCCACAGACAGCAGUUGGACAGUACUAAAAUUGUACAACAAUGAGAAACAAAUAAACAGAAUUGCUCAAAUAAACAGUAAAACUACUGCUGAUACAACUGUUGAUACAAGGUGCUGCCAUCAUGGAUUACAAACUCUGGGCUAGUGAGGUUGCUCCGACUUUACGAGUUGGAACUCCGACUUGAGGGGGUGUUCCAGUUGAAACUUCCGACUUGGAACUAAGAAAUUCCGACCUCCGAGUACAAAUGGAACACGCUGUGCACUCAUACAACGAACAUAGGCGUUGCUCACACAGUGCGCCGCGCACCCUGACUACUGGCGCCGACCGCAAAUCUGAGAUACAGGCCUACUGUGACGACUGCACCCUCUGCUGCCUCUCCUCCCCCUGCAGCAGACAGGCUCCAGCGUUCGACGUCACCGGCCUUCUGACACCACCGCCCAUCUCAUUCAUGCAUUUCACCUGUGUCUUGUUUAGCGCACCUGGUUCUCAUCCUCAUCAUUCCCCCCAGUAUAUAUGUUCCCUCUGCUUUCCCUGUCGUUGUGUGUUAUUG
Esox lucius (northern pike) is the source of this 2367-nucleotide long non-coding RNA. Lineage: Eukaryota; Metazoa; Chordata; Actinopteri; Esociformes; Esocidae. The record is from Ensembl.